AGACCAUCAAGCUUCAGAUGAUCAUGCAACAAAGGUUCCAGCUAGUUCCAAGUGAAAGCACCACCCCUGGCCUUCAAGAAGCUACCUUGCCUCCACUAAACAGAGCAGGUUUCAUCUCCGAUAUAGAAGAAUGGAAGUUGUAACUGAUGUCCUUUAAAAAAAGAAGAAAGAAGAAGGAAGAAGGAGGAAUGAGGAGGAGGAGGAGAAGAAAGAAGAAGAAGAAAGAAGAAAGAAGAAGAAGAAGAAGAAAGAAGAAAGCAGGAAGCCAGGGAAGCUGAAAAUCCAUUACUUGGAUAAAAUAGUAAGUUGAGGUUGCAGGGAAAACUUUCACACUAAAAUAUGGAAGGACAGGUAAAUCUAAAGAGACACAGACAAGAUCUAUGUACAUGGAACAGAAGCUGGGAUCAUACAUUGGUAAAAUACUUUCAUGGUAAUUUUUACAAAUUGCUAGACACUGAAUGUAGAGUGGAAAAACUUCUGGGAGCUACAGUCUUGGGAGACCUACAAACUUGAGUUUCUCACUGUGAAGAUCAAAAGAAGGUUUCUGAGCUGGUUCUGUUGGGUGGUGGAGGUGGGGAGGGAGAGGGGCAGGCAAUGGGGCGGAGGGGAAGAGAAACCACUGUGAAACAUGUCCAGAGCCUUCUCCAUAUCAAAGGCUUACUCUACAGGAAAAAGACUUGGCCAGAGCCUUACUGCAGAAGGCAGAAAAGCAUUCCUCUCACCACUCCUUCCUCUAGCCCUCCUAUUUCACCUAAGUUACAGGGAGGUUGGGGGUGGGGGUGUGGCGGGAUUAACAGGGGUCAGGGCUUGAAGGGUAUACAUUGAAAAUACUACACAUAGGGAAGCAAGUAGGAACAAGGGAAAAGAAAAUAGUACCAUUGGAAGAAUACUUAGAAGGUCACAGCCCAGAUACACAGACUCACUAAAACACAGAUAUAUAGCCUGAAGAUUAUAAAAUGCAAAGGGAAAAAAGAAUGAACAAAACAGAACAUACAAGAAAUGUGGGGUAGGACACAAUUGCUCAUGCCUGUAAUCCCAGCACUUUGAGAGGCUGAGAUAGGAGGAUCACUUGAGGCCAGGAGUUCAGUAAUAGCCUAGACAACAUAGCAAGACCACAUCUCUACAAAAAAUAUAAAUAAAUAAAAAAUAAAUUAGCUCAGCAUGGUGGUGCAUGCCUGUAGGCUUAGCUACUCUUGAGGCUGAGGAGGGAGGAUCUCUUGCGCUCAAGAGUUCAAGACUGCAGUAAGCUAUGAUUGUGCCACUGCACUCCAGCCUGGGUGACAGAGCAAGAUCCUGUCUCAAGAAAAACAAAACAAACAAAAAAACAAAACAAGGAAAGAAAUGUGGAACUAUAUAAAAAGUUAUAAAAUACAUCUAAUUUAAAUACCAGAGGAGAAGAGAAAAAGCCAAAGAAGCCUAGAAAAUACUUGAAUUCUUAUAGUAACAACGGUCAAAAAUUUUCAAAAAUUCAUGACAGACAUUAAACAUAAAUCCACAAAACUCAGAAAACACAAAACAGGAUAAAUACUGAACCUAGCCAUAUCAUAUUCAAAUUGUGUAAAACCAGAGAAAAGGAAAAAUCUUGACAGAAUCCAGUGUGCAGGGGGGAGAUGAGACAAGUUUCAGAUGAGAACUCUUCUGUAAUUGUUAUAGUUCCUAUAAAGGAACCUUAUAUUGUGCCUCUAUAGGCCUCUCAUCUGAAACCAGGCAAGUAAGAAGAUAAUAACAUGAAGUAUUUAAAAUAUUGAAAAAAAUCUAGAAUUCAAUAAGCAGUAAAAUUACCUUUUAAAAUGAAAGAAAAAAUAAAGAUUUUUUGAAAACAAAAUUUGAGGUAUUUAUCACAAGCAGAUGUGCCUUGCAAGAAAUGUUCAAAGAAGUUCCUGAGGGAGAAGAAAAUAAUAUAGGUCUGAAAUUUGGAUCCUCAUAAAGAAAGGAAGAGUGUUGGACAAGGAAUAAAUGAAGACAAUAUAAAACCUCUUAUUUUUCAUAUUCUUUAUUGACCUAAAAUAUAACCAUUUGCUUAAAUAGUGGUAAUGACAAAUUGUAUGAUUAUAGUCAAUAGAUAAGUGAAGUGCAUGAGAAAAAUAUCACAAAGAGUGGAAUGGUAGAAUUGGUAAUACUCUGGUAUAAGGUAGACACAUGAGGCAAUAUAGUGUUAUUUAAAGGUGGACUUAUGUUAAUUUGAAAAGUAUAUUGUAAACUUUAGGGGAACCAAGAAAAAAUCUUAAGUAUAAUUGAUAGAACUAAAAGGAGAAAUAGACAAAUUUAUUAUAGUUGGAGUCUUCAAAGUCCCUUUUGUCAGUAAUAAGCAGAUCAAACAGACAGAAUAUCAGUAGAUAGAUGGAGACAGAGAGAAGGGGGGAGAGAGACAGCAAUAAUAUGCUAUAGUGGCUGUACCACUUACUAGCUUUGCUGUAAUAGUUAUGUGAUUUUCUAUUGUCUAAAGUUCAGUCUUGCUUUCAUAAAAUAGGAAUCAUAGCAGUACCUAAUGAUGUGUAGGGUCAUUUGAGGGUUAAAUAAGAUAUUCCGGGUAAACUACUUACCAAAGUGCUUGAUACAUAGUAAAUUCUCAAUGAAAUAUAACAUCAGUAUUUAUAUAAAAGCAUUUUAUAAAUUUAAUCAUAAAAAUAAAUGUCAUUAAUAAUUGCUAACCUAAAAGCAAUUAUAACAUUUUUCUUCUCUCUUUUCAGCUUUAUGACAUUAAACUAUUGAAGUUGCUCUGCUAGGCCCUUUCCCAAGAUGAAUUAAAACACCUGAGAAGAAAAUAAACAAAUCAGACAAAAUAGAAAUAACUAAUACCUAAAAUAGCUAUUUGUCUUUAAGAACUUGAAAGAAAAAAUUAUUUUGAAAUAGAUUGUUUUGCUUUAGAGUAAUAAUAUUAGAAAAUUUCCAAACAUAACCUUAAAAUGUAUAUGAAUUGCAUCUUAUCAGGAUAGUAAAUAUUAUUUAGAAUUUAAGGGAAGUAUUUUUCACAAUAAUUUAAAGAGGAAUUUCUGUAGGAUUUAUUCCUUAAACCCAAAAUUUAACUGAAGUGUUUUUGAAAAAUUUCUUAACACCAUAAAUUUUAGCUUAAUUAAACCUCUCAAGGGGAGGUUUUUCCUCUCAAGGGGAAAUACAAAUAACACUUCAAGGAAAAUGGUAUCUCUUCUUAGCUUGGAUAGUUAUUUUCAGAAGUUUGCUUACAGUAUGAAAAGGUAAAACAAUGUUAUGUGUCAAGCAAGUGAACACAUUACUCACAGUUAAAACACAAUAUGUAUUAUUUAAGCAAUUGUAAACUUGUUUCUGUAAAAUUUAAUGAAGUUUUAUUUUAAGAUGCCAAAAAUAUUUAAACUGAAUGUUUUUUAAUUCUCUGCCUGAAAGUCAGACAUACAAUAGAAAUAAUGUAAUAAGAGGAAAUAAAUAUCACCCUUGAAUAUUCACUUUGGAUUAGUAUCUUUCAUAAAUCUAUUUUUAAACUCAUAAUUAAUGAAACUUUCAAAAUAAAUUUAUUCCUUAUUUUUGUACUAAGUUGAAUAAUGUACUCUCACAACAUAAUGUUAACAAAGUAAGUAUAUUUUGAUAAAGACUACAAUAAUCAAAAAAUAUAUUUUAGUAAUGCCUGCAGUGCCUAAAGGUGGUAUAAAAAACAUUUGUUAUUACUGCAUCAAUAUAAGAAUUGAUAAGUUAUAUCUAUGAUCCAGCUAUUAGAAAUAUAUUGAUUUAGGUCUUUUUCUCAUAAAUUCCUAGUAAACGUUCUUAAAAAUAGCAAAUUCCUUUUAGUCUCUCUAAAAUUUGACACUUCAAAUUAUACAUUUGCCUUUCAUUUGCUGGCAUCAUGGUGUAUAAUUUCUUUUCACUUUCAUUUAAAAUCCUGACAGCCUCACCAGGAUUCUUGCUCAAGAUCAGAAAUAAAAGGCUUAGAAAAUCAUUAUAUUGUCAGAGCCCACACAAGAGGUAAAAUGCAGUGAGCUUGCUGUGAAUGAUGGAAAUACCAGUGGGAUAUUUGUCUAUGAACCAGAAUUCUCAAAAUGUAUCAAAUAUGAUUUGUCCUUCGAAACCAUUUUCUCUUUUGAGAGAAAAACAAACCAAAUAAAGAGUUAGAUAAGUUUGAUCUUCACUAGUAAGUUAAAAGAAACGAUUUCUAUUAUCUUCUAUUUGAAGAACUAUAAUAAUACUAUUGAAUAGUUAUAUUUCUGAAUAGACCGAAGGCCAUGCUUGAAAUAUAUGUUUCUCUCCAAUGACCAAUGCUUUGUUUGCUGGGUGAAUGUCCUGAUACAAAGUCAAAAUAAAAUAGAACUUUUACAACAAAUAGAAUUUUUAAAGUUCUAUAUUGGACACACAAAACCAUACAUAUUAACAAGAACAUACAUACAUAUUAACAAGAACAUAACAAAAUAGAUAGUAAUUUUUUUAGCUUCAAGUGGAAUUUUUGAGUAAAAAAGUGCAUUUUUAAAAUUUACUAGAUAUUAUCAAAUUAUUUACCAAAUUGUACCAGUUAUACUCCUAUUAUCAUGGUUUAGAAAUGUGUGUUUCUCCAUAAUUCUACCAAAGCUUAGUGUUAGCAAAUAUUUUCACGUUUGCCUUUCUAAUGAGUGCAAAAUAGUAUCGUUUUAUUUUGCAUUUUUCAAAUGUUCUAAGCAAUGAUUGAACAUUUAUUCAUAAAAAGUCACUCAGAUUUUGUUACAUAUUUUGCUCGUUUUUCUAUUCUGUUGUUGAGUUUCUCAUAUUAAUUAUGAAAUAUUGUGUACUCGUCCUUUGUCAAAUAUAGUGUUGUAAUUAUUUUCUCCUAGUCUGCAGUUUUUCUAUUAAGUUUUAUUGUAUCCUUCAGGAAAACAUUUGUUAAUAUAGCCAAAUUAUUACAAAUAUUAUUUUAGGGUUUGAGACUUUAGUCUUACUUAAGGAAUGCUUCACUGCCAUAGUUAUAUAUUUUCUUUUAAAAAUUUUAAACUUUGUUUUUCUCAUAUCUCUUUUAUUCAUCAGAAAUUACUUUCAAUAUGUUCUGUAUGAGGUAGAAUUUUAAUAUGGUUUUUCCACAUGUGAGAGCAUUAUUUCCUGCACCAUUGAAUAAUACAUUCUUUGUUCACUGAUUUGCAAUGCUUCCUAAUUCAUGGGAUUGAAGUUCCGUUUGUCCAUGAGUCUGUUUCUGUAAUUUUCGUGAAUUAAAUUGUUCCAGUUAACCUUUCCCUGUGCCAGUACCAACCUAUAUGAAUUGAUAUAGCUUUGUAGUAGAUCUUGAUAUCAAGAAGCAAAUUCCUCCUCGAAUUCUGGAUAUAUUUUAUUUGCCUCAUUCAGUACCAUGUUCCAGCUUUCUCCAUCGUAUUCUAUGCUUUUUAUACAAGCUAGUAUUGUAAUCUUACUUGGUAGACUUCGUUUUAGAAUAGUUUUGAAUUUAUAGAAAAAUUGAGCAGAUAGUAUACAGUUCCCAUGUACCUUUUUCCCUGCUCACAGUUUCACACAUAAUUAACAUCCUACAUUAGUGUGAUACGUGUGUUACAAUGAAUGAAUCAAUAUCAAUACAUCAUUAACUAAAUUCAUAGUUUACAUUAAGAUUAAUUUUUUUGUUUAGUAAAGCUCUAUGGGUCUUGACCAAUGUGUAAAGGCAUGAGUUCACAUUACAUUAUCAUACAGAAUAGUUUUAAUGUCCUAAAAUCCUCUGCUUCAUCUAUUUAUUCCUCCCUAUACCUCUAUACCACUAGCAACCAUUGAUCCUUUACUUCUGUAUAGUCUUGCCUUUUUCAGAAUGUCAUGUAGCUGGAAUCAUACAGUAGCCUUUACAGAUAGGCUUCUAUCAUUUAGUAAUGUACUUUUAAGUUUCAUACAUUUUUGGUGGCUUGAUAAUUUCUUUAUAUAGCUAAAAAAAUAAUCCAUUGUUUUGAUGUACCACAGUCUGUUUAUCUAUUGAAAGUUAUUUUGUUUGUUUUAAGUUUGGGACAGUUAUUAACAAAGGUAUUAUAAAGACUGUUAUGCAAGCUUCGAUGUGGAUAUGUUUUCAACUCAGGUAAAUACCUAACAGAAUGAUUGAUGGAUCAUAUGUAAGACUAUAUUUAGCUUUGUAAGAAACUGCCAAACUCUUUUCUAAAGUGGCUGUAUAAUUUUGCAUUCCCAUUGGCAAUGAAUGAGAAUCCUUUUCGCUCAACAUUUUUUGCCAGCAUUCUAUAUUUUCAGUCUUGCUUUUUAAAUAGAUUUUAGCCAUUCUAAGGGGUGCUUAGUAUUAUGGUGUCUCAUUGUUAUUUUAAAUUGCAAUUCUCUAAUGGCAUAUGAUACUGAGCAUUUUUUUUCAUAUGCUUAUGUGCCGUGUCUGUCUGUUAGAUAUUUUGUCCAUUUUCAAUUAAGUGGGGUCUUUUCUUAUUGUUGAGUUUUAGGAGUUCUUUGUAUAUUUUGAAUAUCACUCACUUAUCAGCUAUGUGUUUGGCAAAUAUUUUCUUCCAGUCUCUGGUUUAUAUUUCUAUUCUCCUUACAGUGUCUCAUGGAGCAGAAUUUUUAAAUUUUAAUAAAGUUCAACUUACCAAAUUUUUCUUCUGUAGAUAGUGCUUCUGGUGUUGUAUCUAAAAAGUGAUUACCAAAUUCAAGGUCAACCAAUAUUGGUCACCAAAUUCAACCUAAAUUUUUCCCAUAUUAUCCUCUAGAAGUUAUAUGAUGUUGUAUUUCACAUUUAGGUCUAUGAUCCAUUUUUAGGUAAAUUUUGUAAAAUGUGUAACAUCUGGUCUAUUUUCACCAUUUUACAUCUAUUCUAGCACCACUUGGUGAAGAGAGUCUUUCUUCCCUUGACUUGCCUUUACCCCAUCAAUGAUGAGUUUGCUAUAUUUGUGUACUUUUCUUCCUGGGCUCAUAAUUCUAUUCCAUUAUCUAACUGUAUAGUCUUUCAUCAAUACCACAUUGUACUGAUUCAUACUGAUAGCUUUAUCCUAAAUCUUCGGGUAAUAUUAGUUUUACCACUUUUUUAUUGUAUUAGCUAUUCUGGAUCUAUAAUAUUUUCAUAUAAACUUUAGAGUCAGUUUGUCAAUAUCUACACAAUAACUUUUUUUGUAUUUUAUUGAAAGUAUAAUGACUCUAUAAAAUAAAGUCAGAAAUAACAGGUACUUUAACAAUAUUGUCUAUCUACCCAAAAUAUGGAAUACAGUUCCACUUGUUUAGUUCUUUAUAAAUUUAUUUUGUUAGAUUUUUGUUGUUUUUCUCAUAUAUGUCAUGCAUAUCUGGCUAGAAUUACACCUAAGUAUUUUAAUUUUUUGGUGCUAAUAUAAAGGAUAUUGUGUUUUUAGUGUCAAAUUCUUUUGUUCCCUGCUGGUAUAUAGGAAAACAAUUGACUUUUGUAUAUUAACCUUGUAUCCUAUAACCUUGCUAUAGUCACUUAUUAGUUCCAUGAGGUUUGUUGUUGUUGAUUCUUUGGCAUUUUCUACAUAGUAUCUGAGAAUAUAAAAGUUUUAUUUCUUCCUUUUCAAUUGGUAUACAUUUUACUUUCUUGUUUUACUGGAUUAUCUACAAUGUUGACUAACACUGCAGAGAGGGAGUGUCUUGCCUUAUUCUAAAGGUGGAAAUAUUCUUUCCUGCCAUUAAGUAUGAUGUUAACUGUAGGCUUUUGUAAAUUCUUUAAAAAAUCAUGGUUAUGAAGUUUCUCUCUAUUCCUAGUUUACUCAGAAUUUUUAUCAUAAAUAUGUGUUGGAGUUUAUCAAAUUCUUUUUCUGCAUCUGUUGACAUAUAUGAUUUUUCUUCUUUAGCCUGUCGACACGAUAAAUUUCAUUAGUUGAUUUUUGAAUGUUGAAUCUUUUUAUACUUGUAAUAUAUGCUGCCUUGUCAUGUAUAAUUAUUUUUGUACAUGUUGGAUUUGAUCUGCUAAUAUUUUGUUGAAGAUAUUUGCACAUAUGUUCAUAAGAGAUUGGUCUGUUUUUUUUACGUUCUUGUAAACACACUUUUAUUUGGUUUCAGUAUUAGGAUAAUGCUUGCCUCAGAAUAAUUU
This 7933-nucleotide long non-coding RNA is filed under the name Homo sapiens (human). RNAcentral describes it as "HSALNT0186231". The record is from RNAcentral. Lineage: Eukaryota; Metazoa; Chordata; Mammalia; Primates; Hominidae.